CAGAAAUUGUGUCGUUGGAGGGAACUCUGAAGAUAUAAAGCAAAAAUUGAAAACAACGCUGAAUGAGAGAAUUCGAUAUUGUACCCUACAUCUUGAUGUUUUGAAAGCUUUUCCGAUUUUUCAAUACGAUCCAUCCCUGAUUUCAUUCGAUUUUGAACUGCGCUACAAUCGUUUAAUAGCCAACAGCCUAAUUACUUCUUGGCGAAGUUAUUUAAAAUUCACAGGUGACGUUUUGAAAGAUACUAUUGUUUAAUACCAGAUAAAUACACCCAUAGACGACUUCGAAUUAAACAGCAAGCAGCCCACAAUCGUAGCAUCUGGAAAAAGUAAGGAGGAAAUUGUUCAGUAUUUUAUUUUAAUUGACGGUAAAGCUUUACAUGUGCCUAUAACAUAUAC
This is a long non-coding RNA of Bactrocera dorsalis (oriental fruit fly), 396 nucleotides long. RefSeq lists it as uncharacterized. The record is from RefSeq and is a predicted model, not a curated record. The transcript is spliced from 3 exons. Lineage: Eukaryota; Metazoa; Arthropoda; Insecta; Diptera; Tephritidae.